Molecule: unclassified non-coding RNA, 450 nt
Filed under: uncultured Agaricomycetes
Lineage: Eukaryota; Fungi; Basidiomycota; Agaricomycetes
Description: sequence contains ITS2
Rfam family: 5.8S ribosomal RNA (bases 1-155)
Source: RNAcentral
AACUUUUGGCAAUGGAUCUCUUGGCUCUCGCAUCGAUGAAGGACGCAGCGAAAUGCGAUACGUAAUGUGAAUUGCAGAUUUAACAGAAUCAUCGAAUCUUUGAACGCACCUUGCACUCUUUUGUUAUUCAGAAGAGUAUGCCUGUUUGAGUGUCAUUGAAAUAUCAACCUUGGGUGGAUUUGCUUCCUCUCCGAUGGUUGGACUUUGGAGAGUGCUGGCGUCAGGUCGGCUCCUCUUAAAUGCAUCAGCGGAAAACUUUGACCUCUGGACGUCAGCGUGAUAAUCACGUUGCGCUGUCGACCGAGGUGUCAUCAUAAGGACCCGCUUCUAAUGGUCUUCGUCCGUGAAGAACGAUCUUUUAAUGCGAAUGGAUCAUUCGAUUAUCAUUCUUUUGACCUCAAAUCAGGCAGGAUUACCCGCUGAACUUAAGCAUAUCAAUAAGCGGAGGCU